RNAcentral lists this ribosomal RNA (442 nucleotides) under uncultured bacterium. Its description in RNAcentral is "partial 16S ribosomal RNA". It matches the Rfam family "Bacterial small subunit ribosomal RNA", at positions 338 to 795 of the family's 1533-position model. The record is from RNAcentral.
CCUACGGGAGGCAGCAGUGGGGAAUAUUGGGCAAUGGGCGAAAGCCUGACCCAGCAACGCCGCGUGAAGGAAGAAGGCUUUCGGGUUGUAAACUUCUUUUGACAGGGAAGAGCAGAAGACGGUACCUGUCGAAUAAGCCACGGCUAACUACGUGCCAGCAGCCGCGGUAAUACGUAGGUGGCAAGCGUUGGCCGGAGUUACUGGGUGUAAAGGGCGGGUAGCCGGGCUGACAAGUCAGAUGUGAAAUACGGGGGCUCAAACCGCGAACUGCAUUUGAAACUGUUGGUCUUGAGUAUCGGAGAGGCAGGCGGAAUUCCUAGUGUAGCGGUGAAAUGCGUAGAUAUUAGGAGGAACACCAGUGGCGAAGGCGGCCUGCUGGACGACAACUGACGGUGAGGCGCGAAAGCGUGGGGAGCAAACAGGAUUAGAUACCCGGGUAGUC